This 3982-nucleotide long non-coding RNA is filed under the name Homo sapiens (human). RNAcentral describes it as "non-protein coding lnc-SHOC2-1:2". The record is from RNAcentral. Lineage: Eukaryota; Metazoa; Chordata; Mammalia; Primates; Hominidae.
AAAUGAUUAGACUAUUGGCUCUGUAAUGCUUUAGUAGAUUGAAGUGAUUAGACUGUUAAUCUUUUUUACCGGAAUUUUUUAAAGACUGCGUAAUUUAUUCAAAUUAGAAGUGCAUAUAUCUGAGAACAUACAUACAGUCAAAUGCUCUACCCCUGAGUUAUACCCCUGAGAACAUAUAAAUAUUAUCUUCCAAAGCAGGCAUUGUAAAUGUCCAGAUCUUUUUAAAAAAUAUUUUAUUUGAUUGAAUAAUUUCCUUGUUGAGAUUAAAGAAUCUAAAUGUUUGGAUUUUUUAGUUUAGAUUGUAUCACUUUGAAAAUUAGUUGGAAACCCCAAUUUUAAUGAAAUUUAUUUUCUAGAGCAAGAGUGGGGUGGAUUUUUAAUGCUCAGUGUUUUAGACUCUCAAUUGCCAUAUUUCUUAUGGCAGAAGUGCACACAGUGUUUGGGGUUUGUUUUGAAAUGUAAAGAUGUACCAUGUGUAUACACUUGUGUACAUACGAAUAUAUGAAAGAGGAGAAAAGGGAUAAAAAUCAUGAAGGUGAAAAAUAUAAACAAAAGUGAACUUUAUGUGUCUCAACUCAAGCAGGUGACCAGUUUGUCAAGUUCUUCUCUGAUUUUCCCUGAUUUGGGACCAUUAUAUUUUGCUGAAUUUUAUUUAUUAUGUAUUCCAUGUCUUUUAACUAGCACUGUUCAUUAGUGCAAAAUUAAAUAUUUAUUCUAUAUCUUCUGUUGUCAAACACGCACUAUGGACACAUAGAAAAUUUUGCCCUUAGAUCACAAACUAAUGGAAUUCACACCUAUUUUGAGUAAUCUACUUUUUAAAAAGUAAGAAUAUCUGAUUUAACUCAGAGUUCGAUUUUUCUAACCUCCAAAGCACCUCCCGUGACUGUGGAAUAAAGGACAUCUUGGGGCAAGUGAGAACAUUGAUUGCCUUUAUAGAGACUAAAAUGUUAACAUUGAAGAUUCAUGGAUGAACCUAGAUUUGAGGUAAUCACUGUUUUCUAACAAAAUGUUUGGAGAUGACUUUUCUUUUUUUCUUUCUGUGAUCAUCAACUUAGAGGCAAGUCAUAAAUUUACAGAUUUUGGCCUUUGAUGUGCACUUCAAAAGAAUACUGUACAGCCAAUAAUUCUGGGUAACCCUUAAUUUAUUUGGAUUGCAGGUGAGAACUGUAAAAGCAAAAUUUUUCAAAUUUUAUGUUUUUGUACAAUAAUUUAUCCAGUUAAUUUUCUCAGGGCAUGAUCAGUGUUACCAUAUUCAUUAGGUGUUAGCAUAGAUGAGAUAUCUAAGAAUUAAGCAUUGCUGUUUUUCAGUUUAUAUGCAUAUAGCCAUACAUAUGUAUAUUUGUUUCAUUUACCACUCUUCAUGGAAAUUACAUUUGUAGGACAUUUGAAUAUUAUUUACUAAAUACCCACUUAAAAAAAAUACUGUACUGUAAACAAUUCUUCCAAAGGAAGCCUUAAAACAAUUUGAGUUCAACAAGAGUUUGCUUGUGCCUGUGUGCCUUGGCAGUUAUUUUAUAGCUUUUCUCUACUAUAUACUAUUAUGUGUCCAAGAGCAAAUUUUUUAAAACAAUUUGUAUUACUACCGUUCCAUUUGGGCCACAAGUUAAAUUGAGUGUUGUUAAGCACCUACGUUUCUUUUAAACCUUUAAAAACUUGUUAUGACAAUGUUGGUAAUCAUUUUUUACACUUCUUUAGUUUUAGUUUAGUUUGUUUAUUUAAGGAUCAGUUGUGUAUUAUUUUAGACAAAUAAGUGAAUCUCAUGUUCCCUUUCCUGAUUCUUUGGUUUCUAUGUAAAUCUAACUUUAUUUUCAGGGAAUAUCCAGGGCAAGUGAAUGAGUUAUACAUUGAUGCAGCGUCAUAUCAGCAUUGAAAUUAUAACCUUAGUCUUUCACUCCUUAAUCAGUAUUCUUUCUACUCCACUGUAUUGCCUCACCAUCUAAAACAUGAUGUCUGCACUAGGCUAAUUGAAAUAGGCUAGCCAGGUGAAAGCUGAUAAAGUGGGGCUUUGACUAAAAUAGGCUAACCAGGUGAAAGCCAUAUCAAACACAACUUUUCUCCCAUUAAUCAUCUAACUUGAAAAAGCAUAUAUUGUAAUAGCCAUAAAUUUGAUUAGUUUCACAUUUCUUUCCUCCUCAUCCUUUUAAACCAAAUGCAAGAUUAAAGCCACAAAGUGCAAGACUUAAGUGUAUAAUCUAUAAUUUGCAUACUUAAUUGCUGUUAUUUUUGUUUGGGAUCUUUCAUGUUUAUAGGGAGAAUAUCAAAUACAAUUUUUGUCUUGGACAAUGACUUUAGAGUUGUAGUUUCAAAAAAAUUACAUAGACUGCCGCCUUUCUCUUAGGAAGAUAAGACAUUAUCCCAUUUUAAAGUAACCAAAUCAAAAGGUUUUUAAGCCGACUGUCAGAUAAACAGUAUAGGGGUACUGGGGACCACCUCUCCUAGUAUAGUAUUCUUUUGAUUCUAUCACAUUGACUGUGAUUUUGUGACUUGGUGAUGCUGCUUUAGCCACGAUCACAUUCUCUUUUCUGAAAAUUCAGCUUUAGGAGAGAUUGGAGCUGUGCAUGCAGCAUUAAUUAAGAAAGAGGGCCUCCUGGCUAGCCAAUCUGAUUGGCUUAGAUGAAUCCAGGGGGAAAAAAGGAAUGACAGGUAUUGCAGCCAGAUUGCAUUUGUUCCAAGACCAAGGAAGCCAGGUGUCCUGCAAUAUAUAUAAAUGCAAAUUAAAAGUUACCACAGUUGUCUUUUGUAGUAUGGUUGAUGUAUGAGUCUACCAUUCAAGUUCAUUUUUUUUUUCUAUGACUUUCCUAGGAAAGUCUAAGAUACAUUUUUUCUUUUUCUUUCUUUUUUUUUUUUUAAAUGGUGUCUUGCUCUGUCAUCCAGGCUGGAGUGCAGUGGCAUGAUCAUAGCUCACUGCAGCCUCCAACUCCUGGGCUCAAGUGAUCCUCCCACCUCUUGUCUCCUGAGUAACGGGGGGACUACAAGCACACACUACCAUACCCAGCUAAUUUUAUUAUUAUUAUUAUUAUUAUUAUUAUUAUUAUUAUCAUCAUCAUCAUCAUUUUGAGUCAGGGUCUUGCUAUGUUGUCCAGGCUGGUCUCAAACUCCUGGGCUCAAGUGAUCCUCCCACCUCAGUCUUCUAAAUUUCAGGCAUAAGCCACUGUGCCCAACUGGUAUUUUUUAUAUCUCGUUUCUUAGGAAGAAUCAGUGUGUAUAUCAUUCAGCAAAUACCUGAGCACUCACCAACAUGCUGAGCGCUGAUUUAGGUGCAGGAUAUGUUAGCAAACAUAACAGACCAUAGUUACAUUCUAGUAAGGCAAGCAAAAGAUAAAUAUACUAAGUAAAUUUUAUGAUUUAUUAAAGGUUGAUAAAUACUAUUUGUAAAAAACCAAUGGACUUCUGGUUUCUGAUGCAGCAUGUAAGGAGCUUGAAAGUUGUCACUCUGUCCUAACAAAUAGCUAAACAAACUGAAAAUCAACAACUCUUCUUAGAUCCAUCAGAGAAUGGAGGUCACAGAGCAAACUGAAGCCCCCCAAAUUGGAGAAAGACACGUGGAUACAGAGAAUCACAACUUACUGGGAACAAGCAGAAACCUCCGUGGGAACAAAGGGCAGAGUAGGAAAAACCUAAGCUAUAAUUGAUAAACUGCUGGAAGCUCAAUGUGAACAAAUCUGAGAGUUAACUUGUUGUGGGGGAAGGUGAUGGAUAUGUUAAUUUGAUUGUAGUAAUUAUCACACAAUAUAUGUAUAUUAAAUCAUGUACACUUUGAAUAUAUUCGGUCUUGACGAAUACUUUAAAAACAAAACCUUGGAGGGGUAUCAAAAAUGGAUCCCCUCCCUUUUCUGAGUUUUAUCUCUAGGAGCCCUACCAGGUUCUCAUAGUGAAGAUUGAGAAGAAAAAAACCAAAAUCUCAUGUUUCCAGCAUGGGGAGAGGAAAAGGAACCAUUUUGAAAUACACCAGAGCAUUCUGUAUUUCUUAACAAAGCCUGGC